UAUCUCUGUAGAGUCUGCAUAUCAAUAAGCGGAGGAAAAGAAACUAACUAGGAUUCCCUCAGUAACGGCGAGUGAAGCGGGAAGAGCUCAAAUUUGAAAUCUUCAAGGUUUUACCUUGACGAAUUGUAGUUUAAAGAAGUGUUUUCUGUUGGAGUUUUGGUAAAAGUUCUUUGGAAUAGGACAUCAUAGAGGGUGAGAAUCCCGUAUUUGACCAUUAUUUCCAGCUUUGUGAUACACUUUCAAAGAGUCGGAUUGUUUGGGAAUGCAGUCCAAAAUGGGUGGUAAAUUUCAUCUAAAGCUAAAUAUUGGCGAGAGACCGAUAGCGAACAAGUACCGUGAGGGAAAGAUGAAAAGAACUUUGAAAAGAGAGUUAAACAGUACGUGAAAUUGUCAAAAGGGGAGCGUUUGACACCAGUGUUGUUUUCUCGAAAAUCAAUUAAAAAAGGCAGGAUUUUGUGUUGUAUUGACUUUAUCAGCUUUCUGCACUCCUUUCUUGUCUUUUUUAAUGCACUUUUCGUUUAACAAGUCAACAUCAAUUUCUUUUGUUGUAAAAGGGUCAUUGGAAGGUGGCUUUCUUUUCGGAGAAAGUGUUUAUAGCCUUUGGCCUCUGCAAUCGGAGAGAUUGAGGUCUGCAGCGUAGAUCCUUCGGGGUUAGAUACAUUUGUGCUAAGUUAUAGCCUUUCAUAGACAACUUGUUGACUAUGAUCAGUCAUGUAGCUUACUCGCUUAUGCUAUUUUACCUACGCUUAGGAUGUUGACGAUCAGCUGAGCGCG
Molecule: ribosomal RNA, 774 nt
Filed under: uncultured Neocallimastigales
Lineage: Eukaryota; Fungi; Neocallimastigomycota; Neocallimastigomycetes; Neocallimastigales
Description: partial large subunit ribosomal RNA
Rfam family: Eukaryotic large subunit ribosomal RNA
Source: RNAcentral